GGUAGUCCACGCCGUAAACGAUGGCCACCAGGUGUGGGGGGUAUCGACCCCCUCCGUGCCGAAGCAAACGCGAUAAGUGGCCCGCCUGGGGAGUACGGCCGCAAGGCUAAAACUCAAAGGAAUUGACGGGGGCCCGCACAAGCAGCGGAGCGUGUGGUUUAAUUCGACGCAACGCGAAGAACCUUACCAGGGCUUGACAUGCUAUGUUCAGUCCGUGAAAGCGGAUGGCCCUUCGGGGGCGAAUAGUGCAGGUGCUGCACGGCUGUCGUCAGCUCGUGCCGUGAGGUGUUGGGUUAAG
Molecule: ribosomal RNA, 298 nt
Filed under: uncultured bacterium
Lineage: Bacteria
Description: partial 16S ribosomal RNA
Rfam family: Bacterial small subunit ribosomal RNA
Source: RNAcentral